Molecule: long non-coding RNA, 1245 nt
Organism: Brassica oleracea var. oleracea
Lineage: Eukaryota; Viridiplantae; Streptophyta; Magnoliopsida; Brassicales; Brassicaceae
Exons: 4
Source: RefSeq, a predicted model, not a curated record
UCAUGCUCUCGGAAGCAAACUGUGUCUCUCUCCCUUCUUCGAUUUCGUCGACGACUCCGACGGCUAUUUCUUCAUCUCUCAACGAUCUGAUGAUCUCCUCGGCAACUCCGCGUCUCUGUCGGUCUCCUCUCUCUCCGUUCCAUUAAAGCAAUCACACGGCAAAGGAAUCACAAGACUCGUACCAACAUCAAGAGACUCGAUAUCCGGAUUGGCCACCUGAAUCUGCUCCGGGGAGACGAGACCGCCGUAAACAGAGCCGUAAUACAUGAUCAGAUUCUUUUAAGUUGUUGUAGAAUCAGAGAGCUCCGUAAUACAUUCCAUCCAUGGCUUCUCCUUUUGAGCAUCGUCCAGCUUCACUCGAUGCUACAGCCAGUGGCUAAUGUAGAAUCCUUUUUUUAUGGGGGCAAAACACAUAUAAACUUAAAUAUAUGGCUAAGACAUGAUAUUUAAUAGGAUAAAGUAACUAAAGUUUGAGGUAUAAUAUGCAAAUUUUGAAAUUUUUGUGGUGGCACUUUCCCCCAUAUGCUCAACGUGUUUGGAUCACCAGAAACUUCACGGUAUUAUUACCACUCAACUAUCUUCUUUCUUGGAUUGAGAAAGUAGUUAACUUUCCAUGUCUUGCAUGCCAAAUUGUAUUUGUCAGAUUUUGGGUUUUUGUUUUGGAUUGUUGUAGGGUCUGCAAGAAAAGAUUAAACUUGUUCCUUUGGAUCUUGGGAAUAGGCCUGCUUGGUACAAGGAGAAAGUCUAUCCUGAAAACAAGGUGCCAGCACUUGAGCACAAUGGCAAAAUCAUAGGGGAGAGUCUUGAUUUGAUCAAGUAUCUCGACAACACUUUUAAAUCAUCUUCCUCACCAAUCAAAUGGCGUCUUUGUCUGGUUCCUAAAUUAAUGAGAUGGACGUAGAGAACACUGAUGAGAUAAGAUGGACGUACGAAGAUUUGAUUGGGUCCUUUGUUUCAACAGCGACCGUAUCCAUCACCUGGAGCUGUUCUGAGGAGAAACGCAGAGACGGCAUCGUCGCAGAAGAAGAAACCAAACUCUCAUUUCACGGAAAUCACAAAGAGAGGCGAUGGAAAAGAUUGUCUUGGUGAUGCAGAUUUAGAAAGAGAGAGAGAGAGAGAGAGAGAGAGAGAGAGACUUAUUCUUGCCCUGUAUGUUUGAUUUUCUCCAUAUACAUGUAUGACCUUGAGAGUAGUUUGUUUACUGGUCUGGUCUAGCGAAAACACGUAACCAUACUUUAAAUGUGA